UACGUAGGGGGCCAGCGUUGUCCGGAUUCAUUGGGCGUAAAGCGCGUGUAGGCGGCCGUACAGGUCCGGUGUGAAAACUCGAGGCUCAACCUCGAGAGGUCAUCGGAAACCGUACGGCUAGAGUCCGGAAGAGGAGAGUGGAAUUCCUGGUGUAGCGGUGGAAUGCGCAGAUAUCAGGAGGAACACCGGUGGCGAAGGCGGGAUCCUGGGCCAGUACUGACGCUCAUGCACGAAAGCGUGGGGAGCAAACAGG
This 253-nucleotide ribosomal RNA is filed under the name uncultured bacterium. RNAcentral describes it as "partial 16S ribosomal RNA". It matches the Rfam family "Bacterial small subunit ribosomal RNA", at positions 524 to 776 of the family's 1533-position model. The record is from RNAcentral.